This 1837-nucleotide ribosomal RNA is filed under the name human oral metagenome. RNAcentral describes it as "bacterial LSU rRNA". It matches the Rfam family "Bacterial large subunit ribosomal RNA", at positions 1101 to 2925 of the family's 2925-position model. The record is from RNAcentral.
UUGGCUCAGAAGCAGCCACCAUUUAAAGAGUGCGUAAUAGCUCACUGGUCGAGAGACGCUGCGCCGAAAAUGUCCGGGGCUCAAGCACGGAACCGAAGCUAUGGCAUGAUAGCAAUAUCAUGGGUAGGGGAGCGUUCUUAUAAGGAAGAAGCAUGACCGGAAGGACAUGUGGACGAAUAAGAAGUGAGAAUGCCGGUAUGAGUAUCGAAAAGAAAGGUGAGAAUCCUUUCCACCGAAAGCCCGAGGGUUCCUGAGCAACGAUCGUCGACUCAGGGUAAGUCGGGACCUAAGCCGAGGCGAGAAGCGUAGGCGAUGGACAACAGGUUGAAAUUCCUGUACCGGAUCAAGUCGAUCGAGCGAAGGAGCGACGCAGGAGGGCACAUGAUCGCGCGGCUGGAAGAGCGCGUCCAAGUGCGUAUGUUGCAGCAGAGGAAAACCCCUGCAGCUAAAAGCAGAGACAUGAUGGGGAGUUAAAGGAAACUUUGACGAACUCAUGGAUCCCACACUGCCAAGAAAAACUUCUAGCGAGACAAGAUCCGCCCGUACCGUAAACCGACACAGGUAGGCGGGGAGAGAAUCCUAAGGUGCGCGGGAAAACCCUCGUUAAGGAACUCGGCAAAUUGCAUCCGUAACCUAGGGAGAAGGAUGGCCCCCGGUCAGUGAAGAGCAGAAACGCUCAGAGCUAAAAGGGGCGGCAGAAAAGAGGCCCAAGCAACUGUUUACCAAAAACACAGGUGCCUGCGAAAGCGAAAGCUGAAGUAUAGGUGCUGACGCCUGCCCGGUGCCGGAAGGUUAAGGAGAGAAGUUAGCGAAAGCGAAGCAUCGAACUGAAGCCCCGGUGAACGGCGGCCGUAACUAUAACGGUCCUAAGGUAGCGAAAUUCCUUGUCGGGUAAGUUCCGACCCGCAUGAAAGGCGUAAUGAUUUGGGCACUGUCUCAACGAGGGGCCCGGUGAAAUUGAAAUACCUGUGAAGAUGCAGGUUACCCGCGACUGGACAGAAAGACCCCAUGGAGCUUCACUGCAGCUUGAGAUUGAAUCCCGGUGACAGAUGCACAGGAUAGGUGGGAGGCGCCGAAGCAUUGCCCUAGGGCGGUGCGGAGCCGAUGUUGGGAUACCACCCUUCUGUUGCUGAGAUUCUAACGCGAGGAGUAACGACCCUGCGGACCCUCUCAGGCAGGCGGUUUGACUGGGGCGGUCGCCUCCGAAAGAGUAACGGAGGCGCCCAAAGGUUCCCUCAGGCCGGACAGAAACCGGCCGAAGAGUGCAAAGGCAGAAGGGAGCUUGACUGCGAGACCAACAAGUCGAGCAGGGACGAAAGUCGGGCUUAGUGAUCCGGUGGUACCGAGUGGAAGGGCCAUCGCUCAACGGAUAAAAGCUACCCUGGGGAUAACAGGCUAAUCUCUCCCAAGAGUCCAUAUCGACGGGGAGGUUUGGCACCUCGAUGUCGGCUCAUCACAUCCUGGGGCUGAAGUAGGUCCCAAGGGUUGGGCUGUUCGCCCAUUAAAGUGGUACGCGAGCUGGGUUCAAAACGUCGUGAGACAGUUUGGUUCAUAUCCAUCGCGGGCGCAAGAAGUUUGAGAGGAGCUGCUCCUAGUACGAGAGGACCGGAGUGGACGGAUCAACGGUGUCCCAGUUGUCACGCCAGUGGCACGGCUGGAAAGCCGCAUCCGGGAAGGAUAAACGCUGAAAGCAUCUAAGCGCGAAGCCAACCUCAAGAUGAGACUUCUCAUCAGCAAUGAGUAAGACCCCUUACAGACGAUGAGGUAGAUAGGUUAUGAGUGGAAGAGCCGCAAGGCUUGGAGCGACAUAAAACUAAUAGGUCGAGGUCUUAACUUA